AUACCGGCAGUUCGAGUGAUGGCCGAUUUUAUUGGGCCUAAAGCGUUCGUAGCUGGCCAGUCAAGUCUGUCGGGAAACCUGCUCGCUCAACGAGCAGCCGUCCGGCGGAAACUGAUUGGCUUGGGACCGGAAGACCUGAAGAGUACGUCCGGGGUAGGAGUGAAAUCCUGUAAUCCUGGACGGACUACCGAUGGCGAAAGCACUUCAGGAGCACGGAUCCGACAGUGAGGAACGAAAGCUGGGGUCUCGAACCGGAUUAGAUACCCGGGUAGUCCCUGCCGUAAACGAUGUCUGCUAGGUAUGGCACAGGCUACGAGCCUGUGCUAUGCCGCAGCGAAGGCGCUAAGCAGACCGCCUGGGAAGUACGUUCGCAAGAAUGAA
This 381-nucleotide ribosomal RNA is filed under the name uncultured bacterium. Its description in RNAcentral is "bacterial SSU rRNA". It matches the Rfam family "Archaeal small subunit ribosomal RNA", at positions 473 to 853 of the family's 1478-position model. The record is from RNAcentral. RNAcentral also lists the same sequence under 1 other name.